This 215-nucleotide long non-coding RNA is filed under the name Elaeis guineensis (African oil palm). Its description in RNAcentral is "long non-coding RNA (EGUI_LNC047728)". Lineage: Eukaryota; Viridiplantae; Streptophyta; Magnoliopsida; Arecales; Arecaceae. The record is from RNAcentral.
CCUGCACUCAUCGUCCAGUAUCUCUACACUGUAGACUAGAGACUUAUCUAUCCCGAAGAAAGUAAUUUGUACAUCAGUCUAUCCGGAUCAAUCACUAUCCUCAUGAUGGUUCUAUGAUCGAGAGCAUUUAGAAAUUAAUACAUAUCUCUAAUUGUUAAUACCUUGAGAAUAUGUAUCGAAAAGUUAAUUCCAUGGAUGAUUCAAAGAUAAAUCAC